RNAcentral lists this ribosomal RNA (568 nucleotides) under uncultured Actinomycetes bacterium. RNAcentral describes it as "bacterial SSU rRNA". It matches the Rfam family "Bacterial small subunit ribosomal RNA", at positions 338 to 916 of the family's 1533-position model. Lineage: Bacteria; Bacillati; Actinomycetota; Actinomycetes. The record is from RNAcentral.
CCUACGGGAGGCAGCAGUGGGGAAUAUUGCGCAAUGGGCGAAAGCCUGACGCAGCAACGCCGCGUGCGGGAUGAAGGCCUUCGGGUUGUAAACCGCUUUCAGCAGGGAAGAAGCGAAAGUGACGGUACCUGCAGAAGAAGCACCGGCUAACUACGUGCCAGCAGCCGCGGUAAUACGUAGGGUGCAAGCGUUGUCCGGAUUUAUUGGGCGUAAAGAGCUCGUAGGCGGUUAGUCACGUCGGAUGUGAAAACCCGGAGCUUAACUCCGGGCCUGCAUUCGAUACGGGCUGACUCGAGUGUUGUAGGGGAGACUGGAACUCCUGGUGUAGCGGUGUAAUGCGCAGAUAUCAGGAAGAACACCGGUGGCGAAGGCGGGUCUCUGGGCAACUACUGACGCUGAGGAGCGAAAGCGUGGGGAGCAAACAGGAUUAGAUACCCUGGUAGUCCACGCCGUAAACGGUGGGCGCUAGGUGUGGGGAACAUUCCACGUUCUCCGUGCCGCAGCUAACGCAUUAAGCGCCCCGCCUGGGGAGUACGGCCGCAAGGCUAAAACUCAAAGGAAUUGACGG